AGGUCAAGCUACAAAGGGCUGACGGGGGAUACCUAGGCACGCAGAGGCGAAGAAGGACGCGGCAACCGGCGAAACGCCUCGGGGAGCUGGAAACAAGCUUAGAGCCGAGGAUGUCCGAAUAGGGAAACCUCUAGUACUGCCCGCUGAAUCCAUAGGCGGGUAAGAGCCAACCGGGCGAACUGAAACAUCUUAGUAGCUCGAGGAAAAGAAAUCAAAAGAGAUUCCCCUAGUAGUGGUGAGCGAAAAGGGAAGAGCCUAAACCAAUUGUUUUAACAGUUGGGGUAGUGGGACAGCCAUAAACCCACCGAAUCUGUUAGACGAAACUGUUGAAUGCAGUACCCUAGAAGGUGAAAGUCCUGUAGUCGAAAAUGGAGAUGGGGGCGGUUGUAUCCCGAGUAGCAUGGGGCACGUGAAAUCCCGUGUGAAUCAGCGAGGACCACCUCGUAAGGCUAAAUACUACUGCGUGACCGAUAGCGAAAAAGUACCGCGAGGGAAAGGUGAAAAGAACCCCGGGAGGGGAGUGAAAUAGAACAUGAAACCGUCAGCCUACAAGCAGUGGAAGGACGAUUAAACGUCUGACCGCGUGCCUGUUGAAGAAUGAGCCGGCGAGUUAUAAGACGUGGCAGGUUAAGACUUUACAGUCGCAGCCAAAGCGAAAGCGAGUCUGAAUAGGGCGCUUUAUUGUCACGGCUUAUAGACCCGAACCCGGGCGAUCUAACCAUGUCCAGGAUGAAGCUUGGGUAAAGCUAAGUGGAGGUCCGAACCGACCGAUGUUGAAAAAUCGGCGGAUGAGGUGUGGUUAGGGGUGAAAUGCCAAUCGAGCCCGGAGCUAGCUGGUUCUCCCCGAAAUGUGUUUAGGCGCAGCGGUCGAAGUAAAACCUAGGGGUAAAGCACUAUUUCGGUGCGGGCUGCGAGAGCGGUACCAAAUCGAGAUAAACUCAGAAUACUAGGAGUAAAUCGGCCAGUGAGACGGUGGGGGAUAAGCUUCAUCGUCAAGAGGGAAACAGCCCAGACCACCAGCUAAGGUCCCCAAAGAUUUGCUAAGUGAUAAAGGAGGUGGGGGUGCUUUGACAACCAGGAGGUUUGCCUAGAAGCAGCAAUCCUUGAAAGAGUGCGUAAUAGCUCACUGGUCAAGCGCUCCUGCGCCGAAAAUGAACGGGGCUAAGCAAUCUACCGAAGCUGUGGGCUUGUGUUUAUCACAAGCGGUAGGGGAGCGUUCCGCAUGGGGCGAAGCACUAGCGGCAAGCAGGUGUGGACUGUGCGGAAGUGAGAAUGUCGGCUUAAGUAGCGAAAACAUUGGUGAGAAUCCAAUGCCCCGAAACCCUAAGGAUUCCUCCGGAAGGCUCGUCCGCGGAGGGUAAGUCAGGACCUAAGGCGAGGCCAAAGGCGUAGUCGAUGGACAACGGGUUAAGAUUCCCGUACCGUUAAUUGUUGACCAAGAGGGACGGAGAAGGCUGACGCCAUCCGGUUAAUGGUAUGCCGGUGCAAGUAUUCGAGGUGAUGAGGAACGGUGAAAACGAUCCGAGCUAAGAUGCGAGUCCGACCCGUUACGACGGGGAAGUGGUAGGAGUCAUGCUUCCAAGAAAAGCUCUGACGGUCAUAAACAAUUAAUGCCUGUACCAGAAACCGACACAGGUGGGGUGGUAGAGAAUACCGAGGGGCGCGAGAUAACUCUCUCUAAGGAACUCGGCAAAAUGGCCCCGUAACUUUGGAAGAAGGGGUGCCCUCUGAAAGGAGGGUCGCAGUGAAGAGGCCCAGGCGACUGUUUACCAAAAACAUAGGUCUCCGCAAAGUCGUAAGACGCAGUAUGGGGGCUGACGCCUGCCCAGUGCCGGAAGGUUAAGGAAGUCGGUCAGGAAGCAAUUCUGAAGCUGACGACUGAAGCCCCGGUGAACGGCGGCCGUAACUAUAACGGUCCUAAGGUAGCGAAAUUCCUUGUCGGGUAAGUUCCGACCCGCACGAAAGGCGUAACGAUCUGGGCGCUGUCUCGGAGAGAGGCUCGGCGAAAUAGGAACGUCUGUGAAGAUACGGACUACCUGCACCUGGACAGAAAGACCCUAUGAAGCUUUACUGUAACUUGGAAUUGGGUUCGGGCUUGGUCUGCGCAGGAUAGGUGGGAGGCGUUGAAGGUUUCCUUGUGGGGAAACUGGAGCCACCGGUGAGAUACCACUCUGGCGAAGCUAGAAUUCUAACCUCCGCCCAUUAUCUGGGGGAGGGAAAGUUUCAGGCGGGCAGUUUGACUGGGGCGGUCGCCUCCAAAAAGGUAACGGAGGCGCGCAAAGGUUCCCUCAGGCUGGUUGGAAAUCAGCCGGAGAGUGUAAAGGCACAAGGGAGCUUGACUGCGAGACCAACAAGUCGAGCAGAGACGAAAGUCGGCCUUAGCGAUCCGACGGUUCCGCGUGGAAGGGCCGUCGCUCUACGGAUAAAAGUUACUCUAGGGAUAACAGGCUGAUCUCCCCCAAGAGUCCACAUCGACGGGGAGGUUUGGCACCUCGAUGUCGGCUCAUCGCAACCUGGGGCGGAAGUACGUCCCAAGGGUUCGGCUGUUCGCCGAUUAAAGCGGUACGUGAGCUGGGUUCAGAACGUCGUGAGACAGUUCGGUCCAUAUCCGGUGCAGGCGCAAGAGCAUUGAGAGGAGUCCUCCUUAGUACGAGAGGACCGGGAGGAACGCACCGCUGGUGUACCUGUUAUCGUGCCAACGGUAAACGCAGGGUAGCCAUGUGCGGAGCGGAUAACCGCUGAAAGCAUCUAAGUGGGAAGCCCACCUCAAGAUGAGUGCUCUCAUGGAGUUAAUCCAGUAAGGUCACGGAAAGAACAUCCGUUGAUAGGCGUUAGGUGGAAGUGCAGCAAUGUAUGAAGCCGAGACGUACUAAUAGACCGAGGGCUUGACCUAA
This 2894-nucleotide ribosomal RNA is filed under the name Oscillatoria sp. SIO1A7. RNAcentral's name for it is "23S ribosomal RNA". It matches the Rfam family "Bacterial large subunit ribosomal RNA". Lineage: Bacteria; Bacillati; Cyanobacteriota; Cyanophyceae; Oscillatoriales; Oscillatoriaceae. The record is from RNAcentral.